This 343-nucleotide long non-coding RNA is filed under the name Callithrix jacchus (white-tufted-ear marmoset). RNAcentral's name for it is "lncRNA (ENSCJAG00000074911.1)". The record is from RNAcentral. Lineage: Eukaryota; Metazoa; Chordata; Mammalia; Primates; Cebidae.
GCUAGAGAUGUUGCUCCACCAUAUGCCUGCUUCUUCAGAGGGAGACUCUUCCCAACUUAGUCACUCUUCCUAAGUGGGAAGAGGACUUUCCCUCCACUCCUCAAGGCCUAAAUAAUCAUCAAGUCCAGAGAGAAGGAAAUAAUCCCCACUCACCUGCAUGCUAAGGUGUCCUGGUAGUAAGGCCCGCAUCUGAAACCUGUGACUGCCACAAAGGCCUGUCUAAGAAGUCUACCUUCUAGGCACCUUCUGACUCUAGUGCUUCAGGGCACCUUCCCUGCCAUAACCACCACUGGAAGGAUUCUCAGCCCAACUGAAUUUAAAGAGUUUACCUGGCAUUCUAAAU